Molecule: long non-coding RNA, 1505 nt
Organism: Poecilia latipinna (sailfin molly)
Lineage: Eukaryota; Metazoa; Chordata; Actinopteri; Cyprinodontiformes; Poeciliidae
Exons: 2
Source: RefSeq, a predicted model, not a curated record
AAAAUUAUACAUGAUUCAAAAUAGUUUUUACAAAUAAAAAACUGAAAAGUGUGGUGAGAAAAAGUAUUCAGGCCCCAUGAGUCAACACUUUGUGGAUCCAUCUUUUGCUUCAAGUCUUCCAGAGUUUGUCUCUACCAGCUUUGAUCAUCUGGUGCAGCGUUUCUCAACCUUUUUUGGGCCUCAAUGAUGGACCACGUAUCAGGUCCCUUAUCGACCCCCCUACCCCCAUCAAAGAAAAUGUAAGCUACUUGCACUGAAUAUUAUUUUAUGAUUAAUAUUAACAAAAAUUAGACAUCCUUUUAAUGUCAUACAAAUAUGAGACAGAAACAUGGAUGAUAUUUUUCAAUAGACCUGUCUAUUGAUUUAUAGAUUUACUGGACAGAAAUUACAAAGAGCAAAGCUGGUUCUUAAUCCAGUCCCAAUGAGUCAAAUUGAAAGUGUCAUGGAAUCACUUAGCAGCACCAUGACAUUAAAACUGACAUAAAAAAAUAAUAUGAAUGUAGUGGUAUAGAAAUAUACAUAAUUCCACACAAAUAGUUUCCAGGUGAGAAGUUCCGGUUCUUAAGGUGGGCGUGGUGUAUAUAAGGAGCUGCUGCGUUCAAUCAGGAUGUGUCUCUUUGUUCUCCCACUGUGUGGUUCGCGUCCUGUGGGCUCUGGCAGCGAAAAGCAGCCAAUCGCCGGCUGGUGCAUGUUGCGCUGAUAUCCUGGUGUUGCUGAGGUCCGGUGUUGGUGUGGUGACGGUGUCUUCCUCUUCUGCGUGCUGUGAUUCUUGAGUUUGGGUUUUCUCACUGCGUCUGGUGUUUAAAGUUUUUUUUGUUUUUUUUUUUUUGUGGCUUGCUGUGUUUGGAUAUCGUCCCCAUAGCGCCCCCUUCGGCCGGUAACAGCUACUGUAGCUCUUCUACUUUCUUUGACUUCCUUUGUUUUUCAUUCUUAAACUGGUUUUAAAAAGAAUAUAUAAAAAAAAGAAUUUAAUAAAUGAUUUUUGUAAACUUUAAACUGUCUCAGAUGUUUCAAUCCUUCGCAUAAUCGAAACUGUGCGCCUUAAAUAAAAGGUAAUAUUCCCAGGGUGGCGUUGUUGAGCGAUCUAUUAAAACUAAAGUUCCACAAAAUCUGAGUUUCAUCUAGUAUCGCCACAUUGAAGAAACAAAUGUAUAAAAUAAUUAAACAUAAAUAAGUGAGCUUCUUACUGCUAUAGUCUGUAAGAUGCAUUUCUUCUUGGUACUAGAUGUGGUCCCAACAAACCCAUGGCAUAAUAUUAUCUUAUCUAUAGUGUCGUUUGUUCUUGCCAUACAGUCCCCUUUACUAAUUAUUGCUUGAAAUGCCUUGCCAUACCAGUUUAUUCUGCAUUUAGUUUCUUAGUUUGUUCUUUAUGCAUUUCCAUAGUUUCCUUUGAUUAGUACUGUCGUUUCUUGGUUUAUCUUUUUAGUUUCUCUCCUGUUAUUAGUUUGCUUCUCCUUUAUAUUGACGCUCACCAUCUUCACUCGUCAUGCCAUUCACCUGCUGCU